Molecule: ribosomal RNA, 356 nt
Filed under: Simulium bivittatum
Lineage: Eukaryota; Metazoa; Arthropoda; Insecta; Diptera; Simuliidae
Description: partial 12S rRNA
Source: RNAcentral
AUAAUAUUUGUUUUAUUUUUGUUAUUUAUCUUGUUUAAUUUUUAUUUUACAUGUAAAUUUUUGUGAGAAUUCUUUUAAAUCUAAAUGAUUUAUUAAUUUUAAAUUAUUCGCAGUAAUUAAUAUUAUAAAUAAAAGAAAUUUUGAUUUAGUAAUAAAUUUUAGUAUUGGUAAAUUUUGUGCCAGCAACCGCGGUUAUACAAAUAAUACAAAUAAGAUUUAUUAGUAAUAGUUAAUUUGAUUUAUAAAAUAAAAUUAUUUUAAAUUUUUUAAGUGAAAUUUUAAAUUUAAUUAAUUUUAUAUAAAAAGAUAAUGAAGCUAAGAAAUUUUAAUAAUAAACUAGGAUUAGAUACCCUAUU